Molecule: ribosomal RNA, 505 nt
Filed under: uncultured Glomus
Lineage: Eukaryota; Fungi; Glomeromycota; Glomeromycetes; Glomerales; Glomeraceae
Description: SSU rRNA
Rfam family: Eukaryotic small subunit ribosomal RNA
Source: RNAcentral
AGCAGCCGCGGUAAUUCCAGCUCCAAUAGCGUAUAUUAAAGUUGUUGCAGUUAAAAGCUCGUAGUUGAAUUUCGAGGUCAAAUUGUCGGUCGUGCCUCGGUACGUACUGGCAUUAUUGAUUUCUCCCUUCUGACGAUCCGCGAUGUCAUUAAUUUGGUGUCGUGGGGAAUCAGGACUGUUACUUUGAAAAAUUAGAGUGUUUAAAGCAGGCUCACGCUUGAAUACAUUAGCAUGGAAUAAUGAAAUAGGACGUUUGAUUCUAUUUUGUUGGUUUCUAGGAUCAACGUAAUGAUUAAUAGGGAUAGUUGGGGGCAUUAGUAUUCAAUUGUCAGAGGUGAAAUUCUUGGAUUUAUUGAAGACUAACUACUGCGAAAAGCAUUUGCCAAGGAUGUUUUCAUUAAUCAAGAACGAAGUUAGGGGAUCGAAGACGAUCAGAUACCGUCGUAGUCUUAACCAUAAACUAUGCCGACUAGGGAUCGGAUGAUGUUAAUUUUUUAAUGACUCA